Molecule: ribosomal RNA, 253 nt
Filed under: uncultured bacterium
Lineage: Bacteria
Description: partial 16S ribosomal RNA
Rfam family: Bacterial small subunit ribosomal RNA
Source: RNAcentral
UACGUAGGGUGCAGGCGUUAAUCGGAAUUACUGGGCGUAAAGCGUGCGCAGGCGGCUUCCUAAGUCAGAUGUGAAAUCCCCGGGCUCAACCCGGGAACUGCGUUUGAAACUACAAGGCUAGAGUGUGGCAGAGGGGGGUGGAAUUCCACGUGUAGCAGUGAAAUGCGUAGAGAUGUGGAGGAACACCGAUGGCGAAGGCAGCCCCCUGGGUUAACACUGACGCUCAGGCACGAAAGCGUGGGGAGCAAACAGG